UUGUAGAUUGUGCUGUUCGAGCUUGGAGGCUUAAAUACCCUACUUCUAAGAAUGAUGAUUGUGCUGUUGUAUGCCUAUUUCUAGAUCAUAUAUCUGCAGCCAACACGGCCGUGGUAGAAUAUAAGAUGACAAGAAAUCCUGAUGAGCCAAUAGAGAAGGCAGUCAUAGUAGACUCAAAAAAUGAGGGCCUAAACGUCAAUGAAAAGUCUCAGGCUUCUUUUCUAGAGUCUUCGGGUACUUUACAAUUAGGAGCAGAUGAGAUUGUUCCUGCCAGCGAACAAGUCAAUGAAACAGUUUCUGGAAAGUCCGAGAUUCAAUCUAAGAGGAGCCUAGCUGAGUGCAUUU
This 345-nucleotide long non-coding RNA is filed under the name Carica papaya (papaya). RNAcentral's name for it is "long non-coding RNA (CPAP_LNC011758)". The record is from RNAcentral. Lineage: Eukaryota; Viridiplantae; Streptophyta; Magnoliopsida; Brassicales; Caricaceae.